AUACGUAGGGGGCGAGCGUUGUCCGGAAUGAUUGGGCGUAAAGGGCGCGUAGGCGGCCCGGUAAGUCUGGAGUGAAAGUCCUGUUUUUAAGAUGGGAAUUGCUUUGGAUACUGUCGGGCUUGAGUGCAGGAGAGGUAAGUGGAAUUCCCAGUGUAGCGGUGAAAUGCGCAGAGAUUGGGAGGAACACCAGUGGCGAAGGCGACUUACUGGACUGUAACUGACGCUGAGGCGCGAAAGUGUGGGGAGCAAACAGGAUUAGAUACCCUGGUAGUCCACACUGUAAACGAUGAAUGCUAGGUGUAGGGGGUAUCGACCCCUUCUGUGCCGCAGUCAACACAAUAAGCAUUCCGCCUGGGGAGUACGGCCGCAAGGUUGAAACUCAAAGGAAUUGACGGGG
This 397-nucleotide ribosomal RNA is filed under the name uncultured bacterium. Its description in RNAcentral is "partial 16S ribosomal RNA". It matches the Rfam family "Bacterial small subunit ribosomal RNA", at positions 523 to 918 of the family's 1533-position model. The record is from RNAcentral.